RNAcentral lists this ribosomal RNA (1241 nucleotides) under Campylobacter rectus. Its description in RNAcentral is "bacterial SSU rRNA". It matches the Rfam family "Bacterial small subunit ribosomal RNA", at positions 28 to 1095 of the family's 1533-position model. Lineage: Bacteria; Pseudomonadati; Campylobacterota; Epsilonproteobacteria; Campylobacterales; Campylobacteraceae. The record is from RNAcentral.
AGUGAACGCUGGCGGCGUGCCUAAUACAUGCAAGUCGAACGGAGAUUAAGUAGCUUGCUAUUUAAUCUUAGUGGCGCACGGGUGAGUAAUAUAUAGCUAAUCUGCCCUACCUAGAGGACAACAGUUGGAAACGACUGCUAAUACUCUAUACUCCUUCUAAGCAUAAGCUUAGUCGGGAAAGUUAAUAAAAUUUGCUUUUUGGUUUCAUCUUGAGAGAUAUGGACGUAUAACAACUAAAUUGAUAUACCGAUGUAGCAAACAUCGGUGUACUUUAGGUGGGUCAAGGGAGCGCUUGCGCUUCUUGUCGCAAAGAAAGGCUUUGCCUUUCUGCGAAGUCCGUAUUUGUCAAGAUGAAAUCUUGCAAAUGUAUUUUUUCGGUGUAGGAUGAGGCUAUAUCGUAUCAGCUAGUUGGUAGGGUAACGGCCUACCAAGGCUAUGACGCGUAACUGGUCUGAGAGGAUGAUCAGUCACCUGGAACUGAGACACGGUCCAGACUCCUACGGGAGGCAGCAGUAGGGAAUAUUGCUCAAUGGGGGAAACCCUGAAGCAGCAACGCCGCGUGGAGGAUGACACUUUUCGGAGCGUAAACUCCUUUUCUUGGGAAAGAAUUAUGACGGUACCCAAGGAAUAAGCACCGGCUAACUCCGUGCCAGCAGCCGCGGUAAUACGGAGGGUGCAAGCGUUACUCGGAAUCACUGGGCGUAAAGGACGCGUAGGCGGAUUAUCAAGUCUCUUGUGAAAUCUAACGGCUUAACCGUUAAACUGCUUGGGAAACUGAUAAUCUAGAGUAAGGGAGAGGCAGAUGGAAUUCUUGGUGUAGGGGUAAAAUCCGUAGAGAUCAAGAAGAAUACCCAUUGCGAAAGCGAUCUGCUGGAACUUAACUGACGCUAAUGCGUGAAAGCGUGGGGAGCAAACAGGAUUAGAUACCCUGGUAGUCCACGCCCUAAACGAUGUAUACUAGUUGUUGCUUCGCUAGUCGAGGCAGUAAUGCACCUAACGGAUUAAGUAUACCGCCUGGGGAGUACGGUCGCAAGAUUAAAACUCAAAGGAAUAGACGGGGACCCGCACAAGCGGUGGAGCAUGUGGUUUAAUUCGAAGAUACGCGAAGAACCUUACCCGGACUUGAUAUCUAACAAAUCAUCCAGAGAUGGAAGAGUGUCUGCUUGCAGAAAUGUUAAGACAGGUGCUGCACGGCUGUCGUCAGCUCGUGUCGUGAGAUGUUGGGUUAAGUCCCGCAACGA